RNAcentral lists this transfer RNA (75 nucleotides) under Mycobacteroides abscessus subsp. abscessus. RNAcentral's name for it is "tRNA-Arg(tct)". It matches the Rfam family "tRNA". From Rfam's summary of the family: Transfer RNA (tRNA) molecules are approximately 80 nucleotides in length. Their secondary structure includes four short double-helical elements and three loops (D, anti-codon, and T loops). Further hydrogen bonds mediate the characteristic L-shaped molecular structure. tRNAs have two regions of fundamental functional importance: the anti-codon, which is responsible for specific mRNA codon recognition, and the 3' end, to which the tRNAs corresponding amino acid is attached (by aminoacyl-tRNA synthetases). tRNAs cope with the degeneracy of the genetic code in two manners: having more than one tRNA (with a specific anti-codon) for a particular amino acid; and 'wobble' base-pairing, i.e. permitting non-standard base-pairing at the 3rd anti-codon position. The record is from RNAcentral. RNAcentral also lists the same sequence under 1 other name. Lineage: Bacteria; Bacillati; Actinomycetota; Actinomycetes; Mycobacteriales; Mycobacteriaceae.
GCAUCUGAUAGCGCAACGGAUAGCGCGCCGGAUUUCUACUCCGAGGGUUGCCGGUUCGAAUCCGGCCAGGGGCGC